Molecule: ribosomal RNA, 433 nt
Filed under: uncultured bacterium
Lineage: Bacteria
Description: partial 16S ribosomal RNA
Rfam family: Bacterial small subunit ribosomal RNA
Source: RNAcentral
AACGAACGCUGGCGGCAUGCCUAACACAUGCAAGUCGAACGAAGGCUUCGGCCUUAGUGGCGCACGGGUGCGUAACGCGUGGGAAUCUGCCCUUUGCUUCGGAAUAACAGUUAGAAAUGACUGCUAAUACCGGAUGAUGUCGCAAGACCAAAGAUUUAUCGGCAAAGGAUGAGCCCGCGUAGGAUUAGCUAGUUGGUGGGGUAAAGGCCUACCAAGGCGACGAUCCUUAGCUGGUCUGAGAGGAUGAUCAGCCACACUGGGACUGAGACACGGCCCAGACUCCUACGGGAGGCAGCAGUGGGGAAUAUUGGACAAUGGGCGAAAGCCUGAUACAGCAAUGCCGCGUGAGUGAUGAAGGCCUUAGGGUUGUAAAGCUCUUUUACCCGGGAUGAUAAUGACAGUACCGGGAGAAUAAGCUCCGGCUAACUACGUG